UUUGAUAUUAGUGGUAACACGUAUGGUAACGCGUUGUUAAAAUUUGAAUUUGGAGCUAAAACAGGUAGCCCAUGCAUAUACAUUAAUUAAACUAAUCCGAAUGGCUAAUUUCCAGUUUGAGAACGAGGUUGUUUACAUUUUGGCGUUGUUCUUGAAUUUACAUAGUACAUUAAAAUAGAAAAAUCUGGAUUUGUGAUGGAUUGCGUGUUAUUCAUUAUCGAUAUAUUUUUUUCGAAUCGAAGGCAAGCUUGCGAAGGAAUGUUAGAUGCCUGUAAGGUAUGGAUUUUAACUUAACUUGGACAAACUAUCGCAUAAUAUAAUACUUGUAUAUCGGCAUGUAUACUAUGUAGUCCAAAUAUGUUAUGCAAAUUUUGUUCGUAUACAUUAACAUAAGCGCUGGCAAAGAAAAUAUUAUGCAAUAAAUAGCGAAAACCUGUGCUCGAUUUUCCCCAAUUUUCAGACAAUCGUCCACAAAAUAUUUGAGACAAACCCCCUCCCCCGAUUUCAAUGUUGUUAGGCACUACAAUAUAGUUUAAUUCCAACAUCAUAUGUUAAAUUUCAACUGCCAGUGACACAGUUGCGGUUCUAGUGUCACCUUAUGUUCGUUUUGGAUAAGUACAGUAGGUUUCAACAUUGAAAUAAGGGGGGAGGGGAUUGAUUUAAAAAGUCUCAAUAUAUUUUGUGGACGAUUGUCUUAAAAAUUGAUAAGACUUAGUUAAAAGCAUCUCGAAGUUUUUUUGAAAUCAUUUUGUGUGCAUGUGUAGUAGUCACUGUAGAUG
Non-coding RNA from Paramuricea clavata, 779 nucleotides. The record is from the annotation of a GenBank genome assembly. NCBI's taxonomy places the organism in Eukaryota, Metazoa, Cnidaria, Anthozoa, Malacalcyonacea, Plexauridae.